UGGGGAAUAUUGCGCAAUGGGCGAAAGCCUGACGCAGCAACGCCGCGUGAGGGAUGAAGUACGUCGAGAUGUAAACCUCUUUCAGCAGGGACGAAGCGAAAGUGACGGUACCUGCAGAAGAAGCGCCGGCUAACUACGUGCCAGCAGCCGCGGUAAUACGUAGGGCGCAAGCGUUGUCCGGAUUUAUUGGGCGUAAAGGGCUCGUAGGCGGUCUGUCACGUCGGAUGUGAAAACUCAGUGCUUAACACUGGGCCUGCAUUCGAUACGGGCAGACUAGAGUUCGGUAGGGGAGACUGGAACUCCUGGUGUAGCGGUGGAAUGCGCAGAUAUCAGGAAGAACACCGAUGGCGAAGGCAGGUCUCUGGGCCGAUACUGACGCUGAGGAGCGAAAGCGUGGGGAGCGAACAGG
This 409-nucleotide ribosomal RNA is filed under the name uncultured bacterium. RNAcentral describes it as "bacterial SSU rRNA". It matches the Rfam family "Bacterial small subunit ribosomal RNA", at positions 355 to 776 of the family's 1533-position model. RNAcentral also lists the same sequence under 1 other name. The record is from RNAcentral.